GAAUAUGGGGGGACCAUCCUCCAAGGCUAAAUACUCCUGACUGACCGAUAGUGAACCAGUACCGUGAGGGAAAGGCGAAAAGAACCCCGGCGAGGGGAGUGAAAAAGAACCUGAAACCGUGUACGUACAAGCAGUGGGAGCCCCACCACCAAAGCAUUCUCUGGUGUUGAAGGCCCUGCAAAGCAGCAUCGCGGUGGCGGAGCGUCGUUUGCGACGCCCAACACACAAAACAAGCGGUGAGUGCUUUGGGGUGGGGUGACUGCGUACCUUUUGUAUAAUGGGUCAGCGACUUAUAUUCUGUAGCAAGGUUAACCGAAUAGGGGAGCCGGAGGGAAACCGAGUCUUAACCGGGCGUUAAGUUGCAGGGUAUAGACCCGAAACCCGGUGAUCUAGCCAUG
Molecule: ribosomal RNA, 398 nt
Filed under: Salmonella enterica
Lineage: Bacteria; Pseudomonadati; Pseudomonadota; Gammaproteobacteria; Enterobacterales; Enterobacteriaceae
Description: partial 23S ribosomal RNA
Rfam family: Bacterial large subunit ribosomal RNA
Source: RNAcentral